GGGUUGUGAGGUUAAGCGACUAAGCGUACACGGUGGAUGCCCUGGCAGUCAGAGGCGAUGAAGGACGUGCUAAUCUGCGAUAAGCGUCGGUAAGGUGAUAUGAACCGUUAUAACCGGCGAUUUCCGAAUGGGGAAACCCAGUGUGUUUCGACACACUAUCAUUAACUGAAUCCAUAGGUUAAUGAGGCGAACCGGGGGAACUGAAACAUCUAAGUACCCCGAGGAAAAGAAAUCAACCGAGAUUCCCCCAGUAGCGGCGAGCGAACGGGGAGCAGCCCAGAGCCUGAAUCAGUGUGUGUGUUAGUGGAAGCGUCUGGAAAGGCGCGCGAUACAGGGUGACAGCCCCGUACACAAAAAUGCACAUACUGUGAGCUCGAUGAGUAGGGCGGGACACGUGGUAUCCUGUCUGAAUAUGGGGGGACCAUCCUCCAAGGCUAAAUACUCCUGACUGACCGAUAGUGAACCAGUACCGUGAGGGAAAGGCGAAAAGAACCCCGGCGAGGGGAGUGAAAAAGAACCUGAAACCGUGUACGUACAAGCAGUGGGAGCACGCUUCGGCGUGUGACUGCGUACCUUUUGUAUAAUGGGUCAGCGACUUAUAUUCUGUAGCAAGGUUAACCGAAUAGGGGAGCCGAAGGGAAACCGAGUCUUAACUGGGCGUUAAGUUGCAGGGUAUAGACCCGAAACCCGGUGAUCUAGCCAUGGGCAGGUUGAAGGUUGGGUAACACUAACUGGAGGACCGAACCGACUAAUGUUGAAAAAUUAGCGGAUGACUUGUGGCUGGGGGUGAAAGGCCAAUCAAACCGGGAGAUAGCUGGUUCUCCCCGAAAGCUAUUUAGGUAGCGCCUCGUGAAUUCAUCUCCGGGGGUAGAGCACUGUUUCGGCAAGGGGGUCAUCCCGACUUACCAACCCGAUGCAAACUGCGAAUACCGGAGAAUGUUAUCACGGGAGACACACGGCGGGUGCUAACGUCCGUCGUGAAGAGGGAAACAACCCAGACCGCCAGCUAAGGUCCCAAAGUCAUGGUUAAGUGGGAAACGAUGUGGGAAGGCCCAGACAGCCAGGAUGUUGGCUUAGAAGCAGCCAUCAUUUAAAGAAAGCGUAAUAGCUCACUGGUCGAGUCGGCCUGCGCGGAAGAUGUAACGGGGCUAAACCAUGCACCGAAGCUGCGGCAGCGACACUAUGUGUUGUUGGGUAGGGGAGCGUUCUGUAAGCCUGUGAAGGUGUGCUGUGAGGCAUGCUGGAGGUAUCAGAAGUGCGAAUGCUGACAUAAGUAACGAUAAAGCGGGUGAAAAGCCCGCUCGCCGGAAGACCAAGGGUUCCUGUCCAACGUUAAUCGGGGCAGGGUGAGUCGACCCCUAAGGCGAGGCCGAAAGGCGUAGUCGAUGGGAAACAGGUUAAUAUUCCUGUACUUGGUGUUACUGCGAAGGGGGGACGGAGAAGGCUAUGUUGGCCGGGCGACGGUUGUCCCGGUUUAAGCGUGUAGGCUGGUUUUCCAGGCAAAUCCGGAAAAUCAAGGCUGAGGCGUGAUGACGAGGCACUACGGUGCUGAAGCAACAAAUGCCCUGCUUCCAGGAAAAGCCUCUAAGCAUCAGGUAACAUUAAAUCGUACCCCAAACCGACACAGGUGGUCAGGUAGAGAAUACCAAGGCGCUUGAGAGAACUCGGGUGAAGGAACUAGGCAAAAUGGUGCCGUAACUUCGGGAGAAGGCACGCUGAUAUGUAGGUGAAGUCCCUCGCGGAUGGAGCUGAAAUCAGUCGAAGAUACCAGCUGGCUGCAACUGUUUAUUAAAAACACAGCACUGUGCAAACACGAAAGUGGACGUAUACGGUGUGACGCCUGCCCGGUGCCGGAAGGUUAAUUGAUGGGGUUAGCGGUAACGCGAAGCUCUUGAUCGAAGCCCCGGUAAACGGCGGCCGUAACUAUAACGGUCCUAAGGUAGCGAAAUUCCUUGUCGGGUAAGUUCCGACCUGCACGAAUGGCGUAAUGAUGGCCAGGCUGUCUCCACCCGAGACUCAGUGAAAUUGAACUCGCUG
Molecule: ribosomal RNA, 2037 nt
Filed under: Escherichia coli
Lineage: Bacteria; Pseudomonadati; Pseudomonadota; Gammaproteobacteria; Enterobacterales; Enterobacteriaceae
Description: partial 23S ribosomal RNA
Rfam family: Bacterial large subunit ribosomal RNA
Source: RNAcentral